Long non-coding RNA from Megalobrama amblycephala (Wuchang bream), 724 nucleotides. RefSeq lists it as uncharacterized. The transcript is spliced from 3 exons. The record is from RefSeq and is a predicted model, not a curated record. Lineage: Eukaryota; Metazoa; Chordata; Actinopteri; Cypriniformes; Xenocyprididae.
AGUCAGCGGUGUCAGAGUAAACCCGGUGAACCCGGUGCUCGAGAACUGGGGGAAAGGUCGGCGCAGCGAACGAGCGGAAUCGUGAGAUACUCGCACGCGUCUGGCUAGCUGUGCCAUCGGAGUGUGGCAUGCGCAGACGAGCGCGCGCUGAGUCCACACUGGAUACAGUUGUCACAAGAGUGGUCCGGAAAUCAUUACAUCUCCCGUCCGUCUGACGUGCGUUCACGGACCUGGUUUCAGUGAACUGAGCUGAACUCAGGAACCUCAGUGGAGCAGCUUUCUGUGAAAGAAUCCAGGGCGGAGCCUAUGAGAGGGCUGUGAUUUUGCUGGUCUGUCUAGGUGAGCAGAGCUGAGCAGACAAAAGGCUUCAUCAGUCUACCCCUCCUCUUCAGAGAUUCAGAUAUUCAGUGAAAAAGACAGAGGAGAUUGUAUUUCUCUGUCUGUGAUGUGUUGUAUAGCUGAGGAAGACAUUUGCUGUCCUUGGAAAUGUUUAGCAUUCAUUAAUGUUCUUAGCAAAGAAAUAAAGGGAAUUUAUGGUCGACAUUCGUAAAAUAAAAUCGUCAAUUGUAUAAUAAUUAAACAAUGUAGCCUUUUUUUCACAUACAUGAUUCAAUAAUAAAAAUGAAUGUGGAGUCCUAAACACAUAAUUGACUCAAGGCAGCUAAUGUCCUAUUAAAGAGCGAUAUUUAAUUCUAUAUACAUAUUGGGAAGGUUCAGCCAUUUU